RNAcentral lists this ribosomal RNA (437 nucleotides) under uncultured bacterium. RNAcentral describes it as "bacterial SSU rRNA". It matches the Rfam family "Bacterial small subunit ribosomal RNA", at positions 954 to 1389 of the family's 1533-position model. The record is from RNAcentral.
AUGGGAACGCGAAGAACCUUACCUACUCUUGACAUCCAGAGAACUUUCCAGAGAUGGAUUGGUGCCUUCGGGAACUCUGAGACAGGUGCUGCAUGGCUGUCGUCAGCUCGUGUUGUGAAAUGUUGGGUUAAGUCCCGCAACGAGCGCAACCCUUAUCCUUUGUUGCCAGCGGUUAGGCCGGGAACUCAAAGGAGACUGCCAGUGAUAAACUGGAGGAAGGUGGGGAUGACGUCAAGUCAUCAUGGCCCUUACGAGUAGGGCUACACACGUGCUACAAUGGCGCAUACAAAGAGAAGCGACCUCGCGAGAGCAUGCGGACCUCAUAAAGUGCGUCGUAGUCCGGAUUGGAGUCUGCAACUCGACUCCAUGAAGUCGGAAUCGCUAGUAAUCGUAGAUCAGAAUGCUACGGUGAAUACGUUCCCGGGGUCUUGUACACA